UUAUGAUUUCUGAUUUCUUAAGCAUGAUCAUCAUGAUUACAUGAAUUUAAGGUUAAUUGCUCAUUAGUUCAUCAUGUCUGUUGCCCCUCAACUAAAGUGAAUUUAAGCAGUGAUGACGACAUUUUUGACAGAAAA
Alosa sapidissima (American shad) is the source of this 135-nucleotide long non-coding RNA. RefSeq lists it as uncharacterized. The record is from RefSeq and is a predicted model, not a curated record. NCBI's taxonomy places the organism in Eukaryota, Metazoa, Chordata, Actinopteri, Clupeiformes, Clupeidae. The transcript has 2 exons.